This 301-nucleotide ribosomal RNA is filed under the name uncultured bacterium. RNAcentral's name for it is "partial 16S ribosomal RNA". It matches the Rfam family "Bacterial small subunit ribosomal RNA", at positions 509 to 807 of the family's 1533-position model. The record is from RNAcentral.
CAGUAGCCGCGGUAAAACGGAGGAUCCAAGCGUUAUCCGGAAUCAUUGGGUUUAAAGGGUCCGUAGGCGGUCUUGUAAGUCAGUGGUGAAAGCCCAUCGCUCAACGGUGGAACGGCCAUUGAUACUGCAGGACUUGAAUUAUUGGGAAGUAACUAGAAUAUGUAGUGUAGCGGUGAAAUGCUUAGAGAUUACAUGGAAUACCAAUUGCGAAGGCAGGUUACUACCAAUUGAUUGACGCUGAUGGACGAAAGCGUGGGUAGCGAACAGGAUUAGAUACCCCUGUAGUCCCUGUCUCUUAUAC